This 158-nucleotide non-coding RNA is filed under the name Rhodospirillaceae bacterium. RNAcentral's name for it is "6S RNA". It matches the Rfam family "6S / SsrS RNA". Rfam says of the family: E. coli 6S RNA was the first non coding RNA to be sequenced, but its function was unknown until recently. The record is from RNAcentral. RNAcentral also lists the same sequence under 3 other names. Lineage: Bacteria; Pseudomonadati; Pseudomonadota; Alphaproteobacteria; Rhodospirillales; Rhodospirillaceae.
CGGUUGCUAGACGAUGCGACAGGUUGAUAUAUCUCUGGGGCUAUAAUCAAUCCUUUGGGAGCUACCGCUGUUGAGGUCGUGGCCUCGAUAUAGUGGCACCCACCUGUAUUCACAGGCCACAGAGGAUACUCUUUGCCAACGGUCGAUUUGGCUUCCGU